Molecule: long non-coding RNA, 371 nt
Organism: Acanthochromis polyacanthus (spiny chromis)
Lineage: Eukaryota; Metazoa; Chordata; Actinopteri; Pomacentridae
Exons: 3
Source: RefSeq, a predicted model, not a curated record
UGGUACUCUUGGUCAGAUGGCACAGAGCAUGAAUUCAAAAACUGGCUGACUGGAAACAUACCAUAUAACAGUGGAGACUGUGCUACCAGUUUGAUCGGUGCUACUGAUGCUGGAAAGUGGAUCGAAGAUCAUUGUGACCAAAAACUUCCUUUCAUGUGCCACUACGAGACAAAGCAGCUUCGGAUCAAGCUGAGGGUUCUGAAAUCCACAAUGGACCUGAAUGACCCCGCUGUGACGGAGGCCAUCCAGAAACUGCUGGAGAAGAAGCUGAAAGAGAAAGGGAUCACAGCAGGGUUCAAACUUAGAUGGGUCAAGAAGCCUGACAACACCAUCUUUGAGGAAGAGAAGGAAGAGAAGGAUGAACUGUAAAC